AUUGAACGCUGGCGGCAGGCCUAACACAUGCAAGUCGAGCGGAUGAAGGGAGCUUGCUCCUGGAUUCAGCGGCGGACGGGUGAGUAAUGCCUAGGAAUCUGCUUGGUAGUGGGGGAUAACGUCCGGAAACGGGCGCUAAUACCGCAUACGUCCUGAGGGAGAAAGUGGGGGAUCUUCGGACCUCACGCUAUCAGAUGAGCCUAGGUCGGAUUAGCUAGUUGGUGGGGUAAAGGCCUACCAAGGCGACGAUCCGUAACUGGUCUGAGAGGAUGAUCAGUCACACUGGAACUGAGACACGGUCCAGACUCCUACGGGAGGCAGCAGUGGGGAAUAUUGGACAAUGGGCGAAAGCCUGAUCCAGCCAUGCCGCGUGUGUGAAGAAGGUCUUCGGAUUGUAAAGCACUUUAAGUUGGGAGGAAGGGCAGUAAGUUAAUACCUUGCUGUUUUGACGUUACCAACAGAAUGAGCACCGGCUAACUUCGUG
This 484-nucleotide ribosomal RNA is filed under the name uncultured bacterium. Its description in RNAcentral is "partial 16S ribosomal RNA". It matches the Rfam family "Bacterial small subunit ribosomal RNA", at positions 30 to 507 of the family's 1533-position model. The record is from RNAcentral.